GACCGAGGAAGGCUGGGCCCUACCAGCUGCCGUACAGCAUAGCGAGCUCGUACUGGGGGAGCCGGAGCCGGAGCCGGGAACCCCCCCCCGCCAGUGCCCAACGAUCGCUCUGCGGAAGGCUGCGGGGCGGGGCACAGAGCUCGGGGCCGCGCUGGGCGUAUCCAACGGGGGGGCGGGGCUGCAUCACGGAACCCGGGCUGAGGGAGUGGCCCCGCCCCGCCCCGCCCGGAGUCCCGGGGAGCAUCAUAAGCACGUGACCAACCUUCAGCUUUGCAAAGAAAUGAAAUAAAAGUUCAUUGGGUACAGCGGCAGUAGGAACUGAUUUGCAUGAUUGCCAGAGCACCCUCAUUAAGUCUCUCUUCCCUGACCUUGCUUGGAGCAGAGCUCUCUCAGAGGACUCAGUACUGAAAUCCCUGGCCAAGGUUUUGAAAAACAACUUAUGAUUUAAGACCAUCGACGGAAACAGUUCUGGAUGCCAGUUAUUUAAUUAAUGCCUGUGGUGUACUGGACUAUGUAAACUGAACCAAGAUGCUGGAGUCCAACUGUCUGUACCUCUAAAUGGAGGAUAUUCAUCCUAGAGCAUUAGCAGCAGCGUCCAUUUUGCUGUAUGAAGAAGCAGAAUGAGCAAUCCUGUGGCAUCUCUCUCUCCCUUUCACAGAGACUAGUUGCUGUUGCUGUUCUUUUUUCUUCAUCUGAAAGAAAAAUAAUUUGGAGUGAAAAAAUACAUGGUUUUCCCUUGAGAAAUGGGGAUAAAUGCAAGGCCCUUGGGGUCAUGCUACAACCUCAUCUGGCUUCUGACACAAGUUUCCAGGAUUUGAAAAAAAGCAGAGCUUACUUUUUCCUGUUCUAAUCUUCAACCCAGAAUUCCUAGUUAAAAUUCUGCUUCCUUACCUGCAUUUAAAAGUUUAUGGAAAAAGUUUCCCAACUCUGCAUUUGCAUUUUGCAUCUCUACACAGAUGUGUUUCUCCAAGAAUAGAAUUUCACAUCGUGCUCACACUCGCAUGGUUUGUUAUUUUCAUCAGGAGGCACUUAUAAUGCAGAAAACCUGAGUGAGUGCCUUUUGUGGAAAAAUUUAGGAAUGAAGAACAUGUUUGUGACAUCAUUCAAGGGAAACAGUUAGAAGAUAUGACCCAUGAGAAGUGUUAUGCAACACUCCACGUUGGCCAGUGGAAACUGUUCCCAGCCAAGACACAGGUCCAUUUUUCAUUUAAACAGAAGGCAAGUUAGCCCAAUACAGAAAGUUUUUUAAAAUAAAAUCCAUCUGUGACCAAGGCAGUGCUCACUGGUUAGCAGCAAUUUGCACAUUCAUAUCUGGCUCUGUAUUUCUACUGCUCAUAACUACUGAGAUCAUUGCAGAAGUACAUUUCACCUUUAGAAAUGCAAAGCACUUUAAUUAUAAAACUCUGUUUAUCCCAUAAGAGACCUAUUUUGGCCUGCAGUUGGAUAUGACUGGCAGGGACCAGUACAUUCACUGAGGAAAAAUCCAACCCAUUUGCCAGUCCUAAUGGACACUAGGGUCUAGAUCAAAGAUAGUCUUAAAGGUGUCUUAACAAAUGUCAAUCACACUGCUGGGGGGAUGAUAUUUUUCACAUCUUGUUUGGAGAACUGCUGUGUCCAGCACCUGAGCCAAUAUGAAUGGGAGAAUCUUAGUGAAUCCAGAGUUUCACAAUGACUGGAUCAGCUCUGGAAGUUAAGAUCUGAAUGUGUUUAUCUUCUGUUAGCGUAGCCACAAGACUGGUUUAUUGACCAUCUGUAAUCCAGUGCCCCUUUACACUUUACUGCUAGCUCACAGGCAAAGGUGGAUCCAGAAGAGUGCGAUGGUGCAGUCACACUCCACUUCCUCCACUGCCCCCAGUUGAUGAUGUAGGUGCAGGAGGAGCUCCAAAGUUACUGCUUCCCCACUCUAGCCACAGAUUGUGGCCAUUCAGGGCACCAGACAUGGCAGGAGACAGAAGCAGUGGUGCUUGGGCUCUUCUUUCCUCCCUGCCCGUCCUAUCAAGUGUCCCCUGCUUCCUGGGAGCAGGCACUGGAAAGGAACCUGCCCCACACUGCCACAAGUGUCCCUGGCUGUCUGGCGUGGGAGGAUCCACUCUUGACCCACUCCUGCUGUGCAGUGCAGGAAGCAGCUGUGCACAGCUGUGUGGGGAACCUGGCUUAGCUAGGGACAAUGGAGACAGCAUGCCAAUUCCUCCUUCCAGCACCUGCUCCUGGCCAGUGGGGGACUGUGAGGGAGUGGUGUGGGGAAGGAGGGUACACAGGGAGCAAGGAUGGGAAGGAGGAAAGUGUGUUGCUGCUGCUGUUUCUGACCAGGCAUCCCAUGCAGCUGCUGUCUACAGCCCCUGGUUCUGGCUCUCCUCCACAACCUAAGGUCAACAGGGGACAAUGACAAUAACGUCAGCAGGAGGUUGGUCCCCCCAUCCCCGUGCUGACCCAGGGGCUCGAGCAAUGCCUCAUCCUUAUCCCCCCCAUUGCCUCAGGUGCAGUGUGCUCCCCACCUUUAGUAAAUCUGGGAUCUGUCCAUGUUCACAGGUAAUACAAUCAUUAUUUUGGUUAGGGCAAAAGAGAUUUAACCAAGUGGAAAUUGCCUAUAGGCUCAGAACCAAAUUCAGCUCAUCUACUCUGACUUGCACUCAGCAGCUGAAGAUGAGAGUACAGAUUCUCAGUUCCUAGCCUUCUUUUCUCCUUCUAAAGUGCUCUUCUGCCUCCAAGACCCUUAUUUGACCCUUCUACAUAUUGAUAUCUAUUCUGCUGUUCCCAUGCCAUAUUCCUCCUUCCUUGCCAGCCUCACAUAAUCUCUUCUUUCUUACUCCAGUACCCUGCCAGCUUCCAGCAAGGCGAUUCAUAGGGCUGUGCAAAACGACUGUGUUUUGAUUCAGUUUCAGAUUUGGCGAUUUCAGAGGACAGCGAUUCGUUUUGGUGUUUUGGAUCACUGUCCUGUUUCAUUUCAGCCAAAUCUGUUUCAGAGAUUUGGCUCUGCUGAAUCUCCUCCCAAUCUGUUUUGAACAGGCGGCAAGGGAAGCUUUGCACAGCGCUACCCAACUGUGCGCGGCUGGGGGCUGCAGGUCCUCAGUGGGAAGCAGGACACGGCCAUGGGUGGCUCGUCCAGGGGAGGAGGAGGGCUGCUGCCCUCUGUGCACAUGAGGAGACCCCUGGGUCAUGGGGCAGGGAAGCAGCUCAGAGCAGGGAGAAAGCCUGUUGGUCCCUGCCAUGUGACUCAGCUCUGCAGGGAACAGAGGCAGCAAAGAGACCCCGGCACAGAUCUCUGCUGACUGCGGAGCCAGAUCGCGCAGCAGAAACCAGCACUGUCCUGCCAUGCAACCUGGCUCUGCAGGGAGCGGAGAUCCUCAGCAGGGUCUCCUCACCGCUACUGUCUGCCCCACACAGCCCUGCAUUGCUGGGGCAGUGCAGGGCGGGCAGCGGCGGUGAGGAGACCCCCCAGAACGGAUCUCUGCUCCCUGCGGAGCUGAGUCGCUUGGCAGGGCAGCAGCAUACAGCUAUUUCCCUGCAAGCCCAGCUCCAAAAUUCUGAAAUUUUCCGAAACAUUUUCAAAACGUUUUGGAUGCCUUGUUUGAUUUCGGAUAUGUUUCUGAGCCUUCCAUUUCAAUUCAGAUUCGGUAUUUUGGGUGCUGAAACGGCCUGAAACACCUCCAAAAUAAAAACGGCUGCUGAAAUUUGCACAGCCCUGCUGGUUGGAUAGAGGCCCACACCCAGGUGGGAUGGUUAUGUCAGGACAGAGCCCAAUAAGAGGUUCCAGCUUUGGGAAGGCAGAUGGAAUUUACUCAUCACCCACACUAGCAUCCUUGAAGUCUCUCCUAAAACCCAGUUCCAGGUGUUUCCCCCUAGGAAAAGGCAUCGUGUCUGAGUUAGGAAAGCCAGAAAAAUACCAAGCGUUAAGACACACCAAGUCCACAUUCUCCUUAAUGCUUCCAUACCACCCCGCAUUAAUGGGAGUUACACAAUCACUGCAGAAUGUACCCAUUUAUGAAGACACAGGAUAAGCAUUUCCCAUUGACACACUUCCUCUGCUUGGCCUGUACCAUGGCUUUAGAGUGUGACCCUGAUAGGUGACUCACAAGUAUAUUGCCCAUAGAUUGGAUACUAAAUCCAAGAACCAGUGCAAACCCUCCUGAAGUCUAUAGGAAGACUUUCACUCACUUCACCCAGCUUUUGUACAAGGUCAUUUACUGGGAACAACCAUUUAUUUCUGCCACACUCGUUCAUGGCCAUGGAGAUCAGCUGGGGAGAAAUACCCAUGGAAGGUAUUGCUGUUUCCAAUGGACAGCAUGCUUCUUGGAGCUAGAUACCCUGUGGUCCUAUUUGAGGAAGAUCUCGCCAAGUCAUAAUCUAGGAUGGAUCAAGGCCCCUGCCUUCAUCUUGCAUUUCAUGAUUUAUAACCCCUGUCAUUGGAGUGAAGGGGUGUGUAUUCAUUCAUGCAGGGUGAGACUUUCAAAAGAACUUGGCAUCAGUUUAACUUUGCUCUCAUUGCAGUACGGCUGGGCCAGCACUGAGUGCUUCUGAAAAUUAUACCUGUGACCUUUUGAUGUUGCAGUGGACAUUGAUACACACAGUGCACAACUCCCCUCACCUUAUAGUCGGUAUCACUAACAGAGCUGUUUAGCAACGGGCCUUGUGUUAAACACACAAAACAUGCCACAACAUCUCCACUACUGUGAAGGAUGCUUCAUGAAAAAAAGACAGCAAGACCAUGUUUUGUCUUCCACCCAGUGAAAAGCUUCUUUUUGUUAUGGAUUGGCUUGGACAUCUCUGGUUGGUAACUGCAUGAAUGGCAUAAAUGGGCAACUCUACCUCUGCUGGCAACAAACUUUAUCUUGUAAUCAUUUAAAUCAAAUUACAGAACUCCUUUGAGCUCCAAGGAUAAAAAACCAUGAGUUUCCUGCCUAUAUUAACUACACAAAAGAUAGGAGAAAGAAAGCGUUACCAUCCCUAGUUUACAUAUGGAGAACUGAGAUCCAGAAAAAAUGAAUGACUUACCCAAAUGUGACUGAGCCCGUACCUACUGAAUCACAGCCUGGUGCUUCAUCAAAAAUGCCUUCCUGUUCAACUAGAUAUUGGGCACAACUGCAAAAGCUCAUCCUUCCUAGAUAGACACUUUAACUAAGUAGCAGUAACAUAACUCUCACUCUGCUCUGUUGAUUUCCACUGGGAAGCUCCCAGGGGCUCCAAAACUCUUAUUCUCCCUUGCAUUGAGGCCCUUUACAGUGAGGUGAAGAUUUUAAGGGGUGUUUGGGCAGAUAAACUUUAGCUUUAGGCUAGAGAUCUCCUUACUCCAGAAUCACUUGGCACACUCUUUUUCUCAGGCAUGUCUCCCAUGGAAGUCAAUGGGCCCAAGUCCUUGUUUCUUCCAUUCCUGUGCCAGGUUAGAGUAAUUUCAAGGUAAGAGCCUCAAAUUAAUUUCCCUGCCCUUGCAGUGUGUGGAGACCCCCCCCCAUCUUCUUCAUCAUAAUGUCCCACCAGCUCAGGCCUUCAAGAUCCCAGCCAGCAUCCUCCUGGAGGCUAGACUGUUCCCAAAGGGUUGCCAAGUCAAAAACUCUGGAUCCUAAAAAUCACUAAGCUUUGGAGUUAUUUUAAAUUUUAGCCUUGGGUCCAGUCAUAAUUUUGCAAAAUAGCCCCUACCUGAACACCCCCACGUAUGGAGGAAUUUAGAAUCCAGAUCUGGGUAAUAUGUUAGUUUGAGACCAUCCAUAGCUCUUAAAAUGGAGUAGGUUGAAAUCUUGUAGUUUGUGAAAUUUGUGUGAAAAAAAUUCAACACAUUUUCACAACACAUUUUUCCUGAUAUCCAUUUUUCUUUUGACUAAUCACAAAACUGGCCAAUGUUUUCUAAAUAUUGAAAUGUCAUUUAAACGCUGGACAAUGUAUAUUUUUGGAACAUUUGAUGUUUGUAAGUAAUGUCCAUAAGAUCAAAGGUAGCACGUAAAGGCUAGGUAUCAAAAUUAUCCUUGUGCUAACAUUUAUUCUGCUUUAUCAUUUGAUAUCAACUGCCAGAUAUUUUUCAAAUUUAAGAAUGAAUUGUAGAAAAGUACAAAUGAAAAGCGUUGUGUUUCUUAAAUAAUUUAUUUUGAAUAUAUUAGCCAUUAAAUAACAUAGUAUAUCACAAAAUGUGAUGUUACAUCAUAUUUGUUCAUAGCCAUACAGAUAAGAAAUCACAAAGCACAAAGAGAUGUCCUGACAAAAAAUCUUUGGUAGAUAGAUCUAGUCACACACAUGCUGUAUAUCAGAAUAGGUACAUCCUAAAUGAAAAGAAACCUGAAGCAAGAAAAUGGAGCUUUUUUUCCCCCCAAUAUAUAAAUAACAAUAAGCAUUUCAGUUACAUUAUUACCAGGCAUUUUUUUUGCCUUUCCAUGACACAAUAUUAUAUUCAAAGGACAAAUGCAUUUUGAUUUUCUUGUUGAUAAGGAAAAGAUUUCCAAGGGUAACAAUUGGCUGAUGGACAGAAUAGCACCAACAUGCCUUUGUGUUUAGACAUGCUUGGCCACAUUUAUCCCCAGUGUAACUCCAUUCAAGUUGGUGGAUAUCCAACCUGAGAUGGACCUCUCAACUGGAUACUGCUUAAGACAGGACCCCACCCCAUACUCCUAGCUCUGCUAGUAACAUACACCCUUAUGAAAUAAGCAUGGGCUCAGAUAGUCUUGUAGCAAUACGUACAGGUCUAAAAUGCUACAGCCAUGAUCAUAGGAGACCUCAUUCUGGGAACAUACCAAAUAGGU
Alligator mississippiensis (American alligator) is the source of this 6725-nucleotide long non-coding RNA. RefSeq lists it as uncharacterized. The transcript has 4 exons. The record is from RefSeq and is a predicted model, not a curated record. NCBI's taxonomy places the organism in Eukaryota, Metazoa, Chordata, Crocodylia, Alligatoridae.